Molecule: ribosomal RNA, 244 nt
Filed under: uncultured bacterium
Lineage: Bacteria
Description: partial 16S ribosomal RNA
Rfam family: Bacterial small subunit ribosomal RNA
Source: RNAcentral
UAGGGGGCGUGCGUUAUCCGGAUUUAUUGGGCGUAAAGCGUGUGUAGGCGGUUUAUUAAGUCUAAGAUUAAAGCCCGAGGCUUAACCUCGGUUCGUUUUAGAAACUGGUAGACUUGAGUGUGGUAGAGGCAAGUGGAAUUUCUAGUGUAGCGGUUAAAUGCGUAGAUAUUAGAAGGAACACCAGUGGCGAAGGCGGCUUGCUGGGCCAUUACUGACGCUGAGACACGAAAGCGUGGGGAGCAAA